UAGGGAAUCUUCCGCAAUGGACGCAAGUCUGACGGAGCAACGCCGCGUGAGUGAAGAAGGAUUUCGGUUCGUAAAACUCUGUUGUUAGAGAAGAACAGCGCAUAGAGUAACUGUUAUGCGUGUGACGGUAUCUAACCAGAAAGCCACGGCUAACUACGUGCCAGCAGCCGCGGUAAUACGUAGGUGGCAAGCGUUGUCCGGAUUUAUUGGGCGUAAAGCGAGCGCAGGCGGUCAAUUAAGUCUGAUGUGAAAGCCCCCGGCUCAACCGGGGAGGGUCAUUGGAAACUGGUUGACUUGAGUGCAGAAGAGGAGAGUAGAAUUCCUUGUGUAGCGGUGAAAUGCGUAGAUAUAUGGAGGAACACCAGUGGCGAAGGCGACUCUCUGGUCUGUAACUGACGCUGAGGCUCGAAAGCGUGGGUAGCAAACAGG
This 429-nucleotide ribosomal RNA is filed under the name Bacteroidota bacterium. RNAcentral's name for it is "Bacteroidetes bacterium partial 16S ribosomal RNA". It matches the Rfam family "Bacterial small subunit ribosomal RNA", at positions 355 to 776 of the family's 1533-position model. The record is from RNAcentral. Lineage: Bacteria; Pseudomonadati; Bacteroidota.